UCUGUCCAUCUACAACUACAAAAAAAAAUUAAAAGAAUAAUAUCUUUUCCCCAAACCUCAGUUCUUCAAAUUCUCAGAUAUGAUAACUUUGGAUGAUUCUGGUCCUUUUUUUCUCCAUCUGGCUUUGAUUUGGUGGUUUAUCAAUAUAUAUCUGUUUUCCCUUUGUGUAUAGUGAAAUGUGGAAAAGUAAGCUGAGUCAGAAAAGUGUCAGAAUUUACCAUUGUUGUGGUAAUUAUUUAAGGCCCUUUCUCAACAAUUUUUCCCAGAUUCAGCUGCAUAUCUCUCUGGCUUAUGAUAACAUAGUAAAAGCAUGCAGACAGGAAACAAAUUUAAAAUGUUUUCACCAGAAGAUAACAAACAACACUUUCUAAAACAAAACAUGAAGUUCUAAUAUAAAUGGUGCUUGAGAGGGGAAAAAAGGAUUUUAAAAAAAGAUACAGUGAAUUAACUAAAAAAUAACAGCCAAUUCUUUGUUCUGGUUAUCAUUUUUAUUCAAAACCAAGACAUUUUUAUUUGUAUACUCUGAUAAGCACUGUCUCUUCUAAGGGAGGGAAGGAGUCAUGGACAAGCCCUGAGCUCAGCUGUAGGAAUAUGAAAAUGGAGAAGUGCAGCACUGUGGGACAGAUUAGUCUCUGGAGAGCACUGGGUCAGCAUUGUUUUAUCAUGGUAUGUUUGCUUUCUGUUUUGAGAUCUUUGGUGACUCACAAAUGUUCUCUCUCUCUCCACCCUUUAUCUAACCAGCCACAAUAAAAUCUAACUGUCAGAGAACAGUAUGUUUAUUACUAAGGAAAGGCAGGUAUUUGAUGCAAUAGUAACUAAAAUUUGCUUAAUUAUGUAAAAUUUGCCAUAUAUCGUCAAAUUUCUUUUUUUUUAGAAUUGAUUCAUUAUUCUCUUUUUAAGCCAAUAAUUAUUUAACUAGUGAUAAUUAAAAUUAUUUUAGUAAAUCAUUAAUCUUUCAAUAAGCUUUAAAAUCACAAUUAGAAUAAAUAUGCUUUAGACAAUUUUAAUAUGAACAGAGCAAUUACAUUUAGUUUCUUUUCAGUUUGAUGGGGGUAAAUAAAACUAUGUUUUAGUUUGAAUACCAAAAUGUAAGAUUCAAAAAAUACAACUGGUUAAGCUGUAAAAACUACCUACUGCUUUACUUGACAUCACAGAAUUUUCCCAUUUUCUCACAAUAUCUUUCCCAUUUCCACUAAUAUUUUCAGUCUAAAAUUUGUAGCCAUGAUGAGUACUCAAUUCUAGAUCCAGACAUGCUAGAAUUCUCAAUAGUAUAUAAAUCUUUCAAAUUCUCACCUCAUCAUUAAAGUCACUCUUUAAGGUUAUAUGCAACCUGUGGCAAAUUAUUAGGAACAUAGAAUAUCUGAACAUAUAACAAAUACAACUCUUGUUCACUGCCUAAAUCUGAAUCAGAAUCAGGGAUCCUGAAUUCCUGGCCCAGGAAACCUAUGAAUAAACAAAUUUUAAAGGGAGAGUAUUUGGUCAGGGAAUGUGGUAUCCUGGCUCCUACACCUUGUGCAACUUAGGAGCAAGUCCCUAAAUAUAGAUUGUGCCUCAGUUUAAUCACCUGUGGAACUGUGAUACUGACUAUCUAUGCUUUAACAUCCCAUCUUAGGGAUACUGAGAUCUAACGCAGGAAAGUGCUUUGAACUGCUCAGAAAAUAGUGCUUCAUAACUUCGAAGAUUAUCAUUAUUGUCACCAUCUUUAUACUUGAUACUUAUUCUUGAUGUUCUUUCCAUCAGAAAAAUUCAGAUUUACAAAGACAUAUAUGUAUUCAUAUAGCAUAUCUCUGGGAGAAAUCUCUAAUUUCAAUAUGCAAAAUAAGUAAUUAAGCAAAUUAAGUUUUAAGACAAUUUAAAUGAUCCAAAGCCAGAAUUCCAGUCUAGUAUAUACGAAUAUAUUGGCUCUCAGAGCAACAGCAUUAUAAACUCACCGGUAACUGAGUCAAUCUUCACAUGACUAAGUAGCAAAUUUUGUAAUUUUGUUGCUGAAAGCUCAGUCCUUGUCCCCAAUGUUAAUCCAAUAAUGAGUACACUGUUUUGAGAAAAAGGGAAAAGAAGGUUCAUUGCUUUGCUAGCAAAGGAGAAACACAAGAAACUCCUAUCCCAAAAGCUGUGAUUCUGCCCAUCCGCAGGAACAGGGGGCUUUUAUAGAGGUGAUUCAGAAAAAAUGAGAUUAGGGAGGAGAGAUCAGGAAGGGGAAGAUCAGGAAAAGAAGAUCAGGAAGGAGAAGUUUAGGGAAAAGAAUAUCAGAAGAUCAGGGAGGAGAUGGGAAAGGAGAAGAAGGUUUGGGAAAAGAAGAUCAAGGAAGAGUCUGGGAAGAAGAAAGUUAGGGAAAAGAAGAUCAGGGAGGAGAAAAGAAGAUUUGGGAAAAAGAAAAAAACAUGGAAGUUUCAAGCCAGAAGGGAUAUAGUCAAAGCAUCAAGAAUAAACAAUGUAUUACAAUUUCACUUUUAAAAUUUCCUACAACCAGGACUUCCUUUUAAAUGAAUGGCUUUUUAAAUUAAAUUAAUGAUCAAUAUUUCAAAGAAAGUGAGAAUGAGAGAAAUUUCAGGUUUCCUAAGAUGACAACUCUACUUGAUCAUAAUAGAUUUCCAAAUAGCUACUGUGUUAAUAGUUCUCCAGAGAAACAGAAUCAACAAAGGGUGUAUGUAGGGAGUAUGGGGGACAGAAGAAAUAGACAAAGCACAGAGAUUUUAAGGAAUUGGCUCAGUUGAAUGUGGAGGCUAAGUGAGUACAAUAUCUUAUGGGCUAGUCCAGCAGAAUGGAGAUUCAAGGAAGAGUUGCAAGUCAAAUCAAAUUGCAGAUUGAAUUCAAAGGUAGUCUGCUGACAGAAUUCCUUCUUGCUGGAGAGAGGUCAGUCUUUAUUCAGUUAAGCCCUUUGUUUUAGUCAGCUUUUUCUCUACUGUGACUCAAAGUGAGACAGGGUGUCAUUCAGAAGAGUAUAGCAGAGGAAAGCAUCUCAGGACAUGGUCAUUGAGAGGGAGAGGGGGAGUUGGGGAGAGAGAGCGAGAGUGAGAGCAAGAGAGAGAGAGAGAUUGAUUAAGCUCAGUUUACAAAAUAUAUACCCCAAAAGCAUGACCCCAGUGACCCACCUCCUCCAGCCAUACCCUAUCUGCCUUCAGUUACCACUCAGUUAAUUGCUAUCCAGGGAUCAGUUCAUUGAUUGGGUCAAGGCUCUCAUAACCCAAUCAUUUCACCUCUAAACCCUGUAUUGUCUUACACAUGAGAUUUUGGAGGACACCUCACAUCCAAACCAUAACAGCCUUCAACUGAUUGGAUGUGGAAGGAAAUCUGAUUUACUCAGAAUCCAGUUGAAAUAUUAAUAUCAUUCAAAAAACACCAUCACAAACACAUCCAGAAUAAUAUUUGACCAAAUAUCUGGGCAUUAUAGUCCAAAUAAAUUGACACAUAAAAUUAGUGAUCACAGCUGCUUUGGUUUAGUGGCACUAAACUAUAAAAUAUAAAUAUACAUUAUUACAUAUUGUCUUCAUUCAAAACACUUUGAUUUUUUAAUUGACAUAAAAUUGUAUGUAUCAAUAAUGUGAUAUUUAGAAGUACAUAUACAUUGUAGAUUGACUAGUUAACAUAUGCAUAUUUAUUUUGGUGAUGAGAACACUCAGCAUUUUUCAAAAAUAUAAUGUUACUAACUAUGGUCACUAUAUGGUCACCAUGUUGUAUGAUAGAGCUCUUGAAUUUACUCCUCCUAACUGAAAUUGUGUAUCCUUAAUCAACAUCUCUCCAACACUCCCCCCACCUCGCCACACACACAGAGACACAGCUGUCCCAACCCCUGAAAACCAUUAUUCUACUCUGUAGUUCUAUGAUCUACUUUUUUAGAUUCCCACAUGAAUGAGAUAAUGCAGCAUUUGUCUUUCUGUGCCUAGCUUAUUUCAUUUAACAUCAUGUCCUCCAACUUCAUCAUAUUGUUAAUAUAUAUGGCAGUAUUUCCUCUUUUUAUGGUUGAAUAAUAACCCAUUGUAUAAAUAAAUAUUUUCUUUUUUAUAAUACACAUCCUAGCAGGUAUGACAUGAUAUAGCUCAUUGUGCUCAUUGCAUUUUCCUGCUGUUAAGUUAUGUUGAGCAUUUUUUCAUAUAUGUGUUGCCGUUUGUGUGUCUUCCUAAGAUAAAUGUAUAUUAGGGUCCUCUAACCAGUUUUUGUUUUUGUUUUUAAUUUUUUAAGUUGUCAAUGGACCUUUAUCUUAUUUAUUUACAUGCAAUGCUGAGAAUUGAACCCAGUGUCUCAUACAUGCUAAGCAAGUGCUCUACCACUAAGCCACAAGCCCAAGCCCCUCUGCCCAGUUUUUAAUCAGGUUAUUUGUUUACUUACUAUUGAGUUGUUUUAAUUCUUUAUAUAUUUUGGAGAUAAACCCUUUAGCAGAUAUAUGAUUUGCAAGUAUUGUAUCUCACUCUGUAGGUUAUCUUCACCCUGUUGACUGUUUCCUUGAAUGCACAUUUUAGUUCGAUAUAAUCCCACUUGUCUAUUUUCAUUUUGUUGCCUUGGAUUUUGGGGUCAGACCACAAAAAUCAUGCCCAAACCAAUGUCAUGGAACUUUUCCCUCGAUCUUUUUCUAGUAGUUUCAUAAUUUCAGGUUUUACAUUUAAGUCUUUAAUCUAUUUUCAAUUAAUUUUUAUAUCUAGUAUAAGAUAGUGAUCUAAUUUCAUUCUUCUGAUGUAUAUAUCCACUUUUCCCAACACCAUUUAUUGAAAAGACUGUCCUUUUCCUAUUUUGUGUUCUUGGUAUCUUUGUUGAAAGUCAGUGCCUAUAGACGUGUGAAUUUAUUUUUGUGCUCUCUGUCCAGUGGUCCAAGUAUCUAUUUUGUUUUGUUUUAUAUUUGUUUGUUUUGCCAGUAAAAUGCUGUUUGGGUUACUAUACCUUUGAAGUUGGAUAGUGUGAUACCACCACUAUAUUCUUUUUGUCCAACAUUGCUUUGAUUGAGCAGGGUCUUUUGUGGUUCCAUGUGAAUCUUAGAAUUUUUUUUCUAUUUCUGUGAAGAAUGUUCUUGGUAUUAUCAUCAUAGGGAUUACAUUGAAUCUGUAGAUUGCUUUGGGUAAGUGCAGAUAUUUUAACAGUAUUCAUUUCUCCAAUCCAUGAACAUGGGAUAUCUUUCCUUUUCUAUGUCUUAUUCAAUUUCUUUCAUUAAAUUUCUUAAAUUUCAUUAAAAUUCAAUUUCUUUCAUUAAAACAUUUCAUUAAUGUUUUAUACUUUUCAAUGUACUAAUCUUUCAUCUCCUUAGUUAACUUUCAUUCUUUAGUGUUUUUUCUGUAUUUCUUGUAAAUGGGAUUGUUUCCUUGAUUUUUUUUUCCAAAUAGGUUGCUGUUAGUAUAUAGAAACACUAAUGAUUUUUAUAUGUUGAUUUUGUAUCCUGCAAUUUUACUGAAUUGUAGCAGGUUGGGUUUUUAUUUUGGGAGUGUUUGUUGUUGUUGUUGUUGUGUGUAUGUGUUUGAAUGCCUUUUCUUUCUCUUGCUUAAUUGUUCUGGCUAGGACUUCCAGCACUAUAUUGAAUAGAAGUGGUGAGUGUGGCAUUGUUUUGUUCCAAAUCUUAGAGGAAAAGAUUUCAUCUUUUCCAUGUUUAGUAUGGUGAUUUCUCUGGGUUUUUCAUGUAUGGACUUAAUAUUGUGCUGAAGAAUGUUGUUUCUAUACUUAACUUGCUGAGGGCUUUUAUCAUAAAAAGAUGUUGUAUUUUGUCAAAUGCUUAUUUCUGUUGAACUGAUCAUAUCUAUUAGUGUGAUGUAUUACAUUUAUUGAUUUGUGUAUGUUCAAACAUCCUUGCAUCCCUAGUAUAAAUCCCACCUGAUUAUAAAUUUAGUUUCCUGGUAUUUUGCUGAGAAUUUUUUUUUAAUCUAUUUGCCUUUAUUUUUUUCCUUUUUCUUUUGUUUUUUAUUCCUUUUCUUUUUAUACUGUCCUUUUCUGGCUUUAGUAUCAGAGUAAUGCUGACCUCAUGAGUUUGAAUGCAUUCUCUCCUCUUCAAUGUUUUGGAAGAGUUGAAGCAUUGAUAUUAGUUCUUUAAGUGUUUGACAGAAUUCAGCAGUGAAGUCAUCAUGCUCAGGGCUUUUGUUUGAUGGGAAACUUUUUUAUUACUGAUACAAUUCCCUUACUCGUUGCUCUGUUGAGAUUUUCUAUUUCUUCAUAAUUCAAUAUUGUAGGUUGUAUAUGUCAAGAAAUUUAUCCAUUUCUUCUAGGCGUCCAAUUGUUGGCACAUACCUGUCCAUAUUCAUCUCUUAUGAUCUAAUCAGUAUAAAUAUAUGAAUAUUAUUUAUGCCAGUGAUAUUGAGCCCAGUUGUAUAUUCUAUUAAUUUGUAUGUAGUGCUGAGGAUCGAACCCGGGCUGCACGCAUGCCAGGCGAGCGCACUAUUGCUUGAGCCACAUCCCCAGCCCCUAUUCUAUUAAUUUGUAUUUCUUUUGUAUUAGAGAGUUUUAUUUGGUUGGAUUUUGUUGUUGUUGUUGUUGUUGUUUUGUUUUUGGUAGUGGUGCCGAGAAUUGAACCCAGGGCCUUGUACAUGCUAUGCAAGCACUACCAACUGAGCUAUAUCCUCACCCACCCACCCCCACCGUAUUAGUUUUAAUGUCUCUUUUUUUCAUUUCUGAUUUUAUUUAAAGUCUUUCUUUUUUUUCUCAAUCUACCCAAAGGCUUGUCAAAUGUUUAUCUUUACAAAAAUCAUUUCAUUUCAUUGACCUUUUUCCUAUUGGUUUUCUAUCUACUCCAUUUAUUUCUGCUAACUUGGUAUUCUGUUAAGAGAUAAAAAGUCAAGCAAAGCCAGGUAGAGUGGUGCAUGCCUAUAAUCCCAGCAAUUCAGGAGACUGAAGCAGGAGGAUCACAAGCUCAAGGCCUCAGCAAUUUAGUGAAACCCUGUCUCAAAAAUAAAAACGACUUGGAAUGUGGCUCAGUGGCAAAGUGCCCUUGAUUCAAUCCCCGGUAGAAAGCAAGCAACCAAGAAAGAAAAUCAGCCAGUAAAGGAAAAGCCACUGGAAUCAAAAUUUUUGAAUAGAUAUGGAUGUGCCAGGUGCAGUGGCACACUCCUGUAAUCCCAGCAAUUUGGUAUUGCAGGAAAUUUGGGAGGUUGAGGCAGGAGAAUCAAAAGUUCAAUCAAGGCCAGUCUUGGCAAUAUAGCUAGAUCCUGUCUCUAAAUAAAAAUAAAAAAGGGCUGGGAGUGUAGCUCAGUGAUAGUUCCCCUUAGUAAAAUUCCCAGUUGCUACCCCCCCCAAAAAAAGAUGUAGAUAUAUGUUUAUCCAGACCUCAGUUUCCUCGUCUGUAAAAUGGAUAUAAGGAUAUUUCUUUUGAGCUGUGAGUGUAGCGCAGUGAUAGAGCACAUGCUUAGCAUGUGAGGUUUUGGGUUCAAUAUCUAGCACCCUGAAAAAAUUUUUAACUUCUAUACAGAAGUGUUCUUGAAAAUGUAAAUGAGCACUUUACAGAUUAUCAUUUACAUAUAUAACCUGCUUUUUAAAACUUUUAAAAAUUUGUUCUUUAUAUAUAUAUAACAAAAUAAUGCAUUUUGACCUAUUUUACAUACAUGCAGUAUAACUUCCCAUUCUUGGGUUGUACAUGAUGUGGAGUUACAUUGGUCAUGUAUUCAUAUAUGAACAUAGGAAAGUUAUGUCCGAUUCAUUCUACUGCCAUUCCGAUUCCUAUUCACCCUCUCUUCCCUUCUUUCCCUUUUGUAAUCCAAUGAACUUCUGUUCUUUCCUACCACCCUCUUAUUGUGUGUUAGCAUCCACAUAUCAGAGAGAACAUUCAGCCCUUGGUUUUUUGGGAUUGGCUUAUGUCACUCAGCAUGAUAGUCUCCAGUUCCAUCCAUUUACCAGAAAAUGCCAUAAUUUCAUUCUUCUUUAUGGCUGAGUAAUAUUACAUUGUGUAUAUAUACCACAUUUUCUUUAUCCAUUCGUCUAUUAAAGGGCACUUAGAUUGGUUCUAUAGCUUAGCUAUUGUGAAUUGAGCUGCCAUAAACAUUGAUGUGGCUGCAUCACUAUAGUAUGCUCAUUUUAAAUCCUUUGGAUAUUGAUGUGUGGGUUAACUGGAUCAAAUGGUGAUUCCAUUCCAAGUUUUCUGAGGAAUCUCCAUACUGCUUUCCAUAGUGGUUUCACCAGUUUGCAGUCUCACCAGCAAUGUAUAAAUAUACCUUUCCCCCCACACACAUCCUUGCCAACAUAUAAUCUGCUCUUAACAUGUAUUUUCUGCCCUCUAAAGCAUGCCAAAAUACUUGGUUUAUUGCAUGUAUAUCUCUCUAUUGCAGUUCAAUAACAAUAAUUUGCAUUUUCUAGAGAAUGAUUCAUCAGCUACAUUGUUUUACCACAUUUUGGUCAUACUUGGAUAUAAGAUGUAUUAUAAAUAGGCAUUAUCACUAAUAAAAUUUAUAAAGUACUAUAUAGUUUGCAAAUGAUUUUCUUUUUUUUUUUAAUUGUAGGUGGACACAAAACCUUUGUUUUAUUUAUUCAUUUUUAUAUGGUGCUGAGGAUGGAACCCAGUACCUCACCCAUGCUAGACAUAUGCUCUACCACUGAGCUACAGCCUCAGCCCCUCUUUUUUUAAUAAAUGAGAAUGGAUUCAAUAUUACCCCUAUAAUAACAUUCUCAAUAACUUGUAUUCAUAUAUGUUUUAUUUCUUUGUGGGAAAAAAAAGGAAUACUAGGAAUUACACAUAACUUGAAGCAUAUUGUCAUCUAAGUUGUUGCAAUAAUCUUGGUCACCUUUUAGCAGUAUUUCUUUUCUAAACUAUCUCUAACUUUAGUUUUCCUAAGUGAAAUAAAUUAUGAUUACAGUAAACUGGAAACAUCUGUUGUUCUCCUCUACUUAACACUUUCAGUUUACAAGUCUAAUAUUUGAGUGUGUUGAUGAAGUCUAUUGACAUCACCUCAGUCGUGCUACUAUUUAUACAUUUAAGAAUUUUAAAAAAAUUUACUAGGGCUGGUAAUAUAGCUUAUGGUGGAAUACUUGGCUAGCAUGUGAAAAUUUCCAGCACUACAAAAAAAAAAAACAACAACAAAAACAAAAAAUUAAAUACUAUGUUUGACUUAUAAAAAUAUUAGCAGGCAGGGGUAUUGUCUAUUAAUUCUUUUGGUCUAACAACAUGCAUCAUAAGUAAGGGGAUCAGAGGCCAUGGAUUGCCUGGUAUACUCCUGAUUUUUGCCUGCUGUACCAUUGUAAUUAAUAAUAACCCCCUUUUUCAAUCUCCAAGUAUAAUGUACUCACUGCUAUUUAUCAAUGUAUUACACAUAGCAUGUAUUAGGAGUUCAGUAUUUGUUAAUGAAUAAAUGAUAGUCCAUAUCCAAAGAGAUAAUCCCAUUAAAUAUAGUUCAAGGAAUAUAGUUCUUCAUUAAAAUACUAUGAGCAUUUUGGUGAACUAAAUGAGGAAUCCCAAGAAAGAUAUGUUCAUGUUCUAAUCCCCUGGAACCUUAUAUGGCAAAAGAUGUGAUUAAAUUAAAAACUUAAAAGAGUUUAUCCUGGAUUAUCUGAGUGCAAUCACAUGUAUCUUUAUAAGACAGAGGAGGUUUUGUGAUACACAACACACACACACACACAGAGAAGGCACUGUGAAGACAGAGUAGAGAGAUAUGACCACAAGCUAAGGAACAACAGCCAACAGCCACCAGAAGUUGGAAAAGACAAGAAAUUAAUUCUCUUUAGAGCCUCCACUGGUAAUAUGGCUUGCUAACACCCUUUAUUUGCGGUUUAGGGCCCCUAAGAAUGUGAGAAAAUAAAUUUAUGUUGUUUUCAUUCACCCAUUUUGUGGCAAUUUUUUAUGGCAGCCAGAGGAAGCUAAUACAAGCUUUUUACACAUUGCUUACAAAAGUAAAAAAAUAAAAGAAUAUCCUCAUGGUUACUUAUGUUGUUGUAGAGGAGAAUUUUGUGCACUUGGGAAAGUAUGAGAUUCUUCCACACAUUAACUAAAUAAAAUUGGAAAAAUUACUUAAAUUUCAAUUUCUUGUAUCUGUAAAAUGGGAGACCUGAUACAUCUCUGCUUAGCCCAAAGUGGUUUUGUAUUGAAACUAAAUUGCAAGAAUGUAUAUUUCAUACUCAAUAAAUAUUUAUUGAUGCCUACUAUGUACCAGGAUCUAUUCUAAGUUUUUAAUCUCUUGUUUUCCAAUACAUUGUCUACCAAUGUAUUUGUGUGUGUGUGUGUGUGCAUGCAUCUUUUAAAACUUUUAAAACGGACACCAAACGACAGUCAUGGUUCCUGAUGUCAUUGAGCUUACAUUCUAAUGCAAUGAGCAGGCAAUACACAAUAAAAAAAUUCAAAACAUUAUUUCAGAUAAUAAUAAGGACUUUGAAAAAAUUAAAUGAGGUAACCUAAUAAAGUGCUUGGGAAAGAGAGCAAUUUUACAUAGAGUGAUCAGGAAAGGAUUUUCUAAAAAAUAGCUAUUCAGCCAGGCAUGGUGGCACAUGCCUAUAAUCCCAGCAGCUCACAAGUUCAAAGUCAGCUUCAGCAAUGGCUAAGCACUAAGCAACUCAGUGAGACCUUGUCUCUAAAUAAAAUACAAAAUAGGUCUGGGAAUAUGCCUCAGUGGUCAGGUGCCCCUGAGCUCAAUCCCUGGUACCCCCCCCCCCGAAAAUGGCU
RNAcentral lists this long non-coding RNA (10549 nucleotides) under Marmota monax (woodchuck). Lineage: Eukaryota; Metazoa; Chordata; Mammalia; Rodentia; Sciuridae. The record is from RNAcentral.